Non-coding RNA from Lipotes vexillifer (Yangtze River dolphin), 72 nucleotides. NCBI's taxonomy places the organism in Eukaryota, Metazoa, Chordata, Mammalia, Artiodactyla, Lipotidae. The record is from the annotation of a RefSeq genome assembly.
UCCCUGGCAGUCCAGCGGUUAGGACUCAGCGCUUUCACUGCCGUGGCCUGGGUUCAAUCCCCAGUCAGGGAA